AAAGUCUUUUAUUUCCUGUCAUUUUAUUUUGAAACUAUAAUGAUGUCAUAUCCUUUCCGAGCGCAUCACAUCCUCAUUCCCGACUCCGCAUUCUGUGGGAUGGUGGCUCGCGUGUGCGUAACCUAAUCGAAAACCACACACACAGACACCCACACAUAUGCCUAUUUGUACACCAAUGAUUGUACCCAAACUACAAUAUUAAAGUUUGCUGGAACAAUUUCUCCGUGCCCUUCUCUCUGACCGGAGCCCUGUCAAAGGAAACUGCCAGACCAGUAUUAUCCCAUUCAGAGUGUCCCACUCUAUCACA
Carassius auratus (goldfish) is the source of this 307-nucleotide long non-coding RNA. RefSeq lists it as uncharacterized. The transcript is spliced from 2 exons. Lineage: Eukaryota; Metazoa; Chordata; Actinopteri; Cypriniformes; Cyprinidae. The record is from RefSeq and is a predicted model, not a curated record.